GACGAACGCUGGCGGCGUGCCUAAUACAUGCAAGUAGAACGCUGAAGAGAGGAGCUUGCUCUUCUUGGAUGAGUUGCGAACGGGUGAGUAACGCGUAGGUAACCUGCCUUGUAGCGGGGGAUAACUAUUGGAAACGAUAGCUAAUACCGCAUAACAAUGGAUGUCACAUGUCAUUUAUUUGAGAGGGGCAAUUGCUCCACUACAAGAUGGACCUGCGUUGUAUUAGCUAGUAGGUGAGGUAACGGCUCACCUAGGCGACGAUACAUAGCCGACCUGAGAGGGUGAUCGGCCACACUGGGACUGAGACACGGCCCAGACUCCUACGGGAGGCAGCAGUAGGGAAUCUUCGGCAAUGGGGGCAACCCUGACCGAGCAACGCCGCGUGAGUGAAGAAGGUUUUCGGAUCGUAAAGCUCUGUUGUAAGUCAAGAACGAGUGUGAGAGUGGAAAAUUCACACUGUGACGGUAGCUUACCAGAAAGGGACGGCUAACUACGUGCCAGCAGCCGCGGUAAUACGUAGGUCCCGAGCGUUGUCCGGAUUUAUUGGGCGUAAAGCGAGCGCAGGCGGUUUGAUAAGUCUGAAGUUAAAGGCUGUGGCUCAACCAUAGUUCGCUUUGGAAACUGUCAAACUUGAGUGCAGAAGGGGAGAGUGGAAUUCCAUGUGUAGCGGUGAAAUGCGUAGAUAUAUGGAGGAACACCGGUGGCGAAAGCGGCUCUCUGGUCUGUAACUGACGCUGAGGCUCGAAAGCGUGGGGAGCGAACAGGAUUAGAUACCCUGGUAGUCCACGCCGUAAACGAUGAGUGCUAGGUGUUGGAUCCUUUCCGGGAUUCAGUGCCGCAGCUAACGCAUUAAGCACUCCGCCUGGGGAGUACGACCGCAAGGUUGAAACUCAAAGGAAUUGACGGGGGCCCGCACAAGCGGUGGAGCAUGUGGUUUAAUUCGAAGCAACGCGAAGAACCUUACCAGGUCUUGACAUCCCGAUGCUAUUUCUAGAGAUAGAAAGUUACUUCGGUACAUCGGUGACAGGUGGUGCAUGGUUGUCGUCAGCUCGUGUCGUGAGAUGUUGGGUUAAGUCCCGCAACGAGCGCAACCCCUAUUGUUAGUUGCCAUCAUUCAGUUGGGCACUCUAGCGAGACUGCCGGUAAUAAACCGGAGGAAGGUGGGGAUGACGUCAAAUCAUCAUGCCCCUUAUGACCUGGGCUACACACGUGCUACAAUGGUUGGUACAACGAGUUGCGAGUCGGUGACGGCAAGCUAAUCUCUUAAAGCCAAUCUCAGUUCGGAUUGUAGGCUGCAACUCGCCUACAUGAAGUCGGAAUCGCUAGUAAUCGCGGAUCAGCACGCCGCGGUGAAUACGUUCCCGGGCCU
This 1369-nucleotide ribosomal RNA is filed under the name uncultured bacterium. Its description in RNAcentral is "bacterial SSU rRNA". It matches the Rfam family "Bacterial small subunit ribosomal RNA", at positions 28 to 1381 of the family's 1533-position model. The record is from RNAcentral.